RNAcentral lists this long non-coding RNA (3462 nucleotides) under Homo sapiens (human). Its description in RNAcentral is "HSALNT0069496". The stretch from base 2300 to 2627 matches the Rfam family "7SK RNA". The record is from RNAcentral. Lineage: Eukaryota; Metazoa; Chordata; Mammalia; Primates; Hominidae.
CUCAAGAAGUUUUAAAGAAAAGAAAUACAAAAUGUGUUCUCAGACUCCACUACAAUUAAACUAGAAAUCAAUAAAAAAAAUUAAUGAUUAAGGUUCCCAUAUAAGAUUACGAAUUUCACCUCUAAAUAAAAUAUAUUCAAAAAAUAAAGAAAAAAGCACAGUGGAAAUCAGAGGAUGCUUCACCUGAAUAACACUGAAUAUAAUACAAAUUAAAACUAAAGUAGACUACAUUAAAGUCAUGCUUAAAAAGGAAAUUUAUAGCCUUAAGUUCAUGUAGUAGAAAAGACAGGAGACUCAAAAUCAGUGAGCAAAGCAUCCAUCUCUAAAGUUUAGGUAAAUAAAAGUGAAAUAAAUUGAGGAAAUUUUAGGGAGAAAAAAAUAAAGAUGAAAGCAGAAAUUUGUGAUUUAGAAAACAAGGAUAUUAUAGAGAGGCUUAAAGAAAAAAAUUGCGUCUCUGAAAAAAUAAAUAAAUUUAAUACAUUUCAGAUUAGACUGAUACAGAAAAACAGGAGUGUAUUAAUUUGCUCAGGCUCCCAAAAUAAAAUACCACAGACUGGGUCGUUUAAAUGAAAGAAAUUAUUUUCUCACAGUUCUGGUGGCUGAAAGCCCAAGAUCAAGGUGUAAGUAGGGUUGGUUCCUGAGAAGGCCUCUGUCCUUGGCUUCUCAAUGAUGCCUCCUCUCUGUCCUCACAAAUUAAUAAGGGAGUUUUGCAACGUUGCUGGAUACUGGGUCAAUAAACAAAAUUCUAUAAAACUUCUAUAUCAGAUUAACAAAAGAUUAGGAAAUAAAAUUUAAACAAAGAUAUCAUUAUAAUACCAUAAAAUAGAAUGAAAUCCAGAAUGUAAUAAAAUACAUGCAGCCUUUUCUCUGUGCAAAUGCAGGAAGAGAGAGAAAGAGAGCACUCUGGUGUCUCUUCCUCUUCUUAUAAGGACACCAGUUUUAGGGCUGGGUGUGGUGGCUCACACUUGUAAUCCCAGCACUUUGGGAGACCGAGGUGGGUGGAUCACCUGAGGUUGGGAGUUUGAGACCAGCCUGACUAACAUGGAGAAACCCUGUCUCUACUAAAAAUAUAAAAUUAGCGGGCAUGGUGGCACAUGCCUGUAAUCUCAGCUACUCGGGAGGCUGAGGCAGGAGAAUUGCUUGAACCCUGGAGGUGGAGGUUGCGGUGAGCCAAGAUCACGUCAUUGCACUCCAGCAUGGGAAACAACAGGGAAACUCCACCUCAAAAAGAAAAAAAAAAAAAAAAAAGACACCAGUUUUGUUGGAUUAGAAUCCCACCCUUAUGCCGCAUUUAACCUUAGUUACCUCCUUAAAGGCCCUAAUCACCAAAUACAGCCGCACUGGGGGUUAGGGCUUCAUCAUAUACAUUUUGUGGGAGGCACAGUUCAGUCCAAAACAAAGAGAAAGCAAAAAAACAGAAAUAACCAUAAUCAGAAAUCAAAAGGGGAACAAAACUUUAUAUCCUACCAACCUUUUAAAAAACUAUUAAAAGACCAUUUAUUCCAGUAAAUUUGAAAAUUUCGAUGAAGUAAAUAAACUACUAAAAAUAUAACUAAAAAGUUGCAUAAUAAAGCUUAGAAAAAGUGGAUUGUUGUAUAUUUAUUAAAGUCAGGCCAGAUGUGAUGGCUCACACCUGUAGUCCCAAAGUGCUGGCACUUUGGGAGGCCGAGGUGGGUGGAUUACUUGAGGUAAGGAGUUCGAGACCAGCCUGGCCAACCUGGUGAAACCUCAUCUGUACCAAAAAAUACAAAAAUUAGGCAGGUGCAGUGGUGAGCACCUGUAGUCCCUCCUAUUUGGGAGGCUAAAGUGGGAGAAUCACUGAACCUGACAGGCAGAGCCUGCAGUGAGUGGAGAUCGUGCCACUGCACUCUAGCCUGGGCAACAGAGUGAGACCCUGUCUCAAAAAAAAAAAAAAAAAAAGUAAAUGAAUCUGUAAUUAAAUGUCUCCUCACAAAGAAAAAUCCAGAUCCAGAAGUUUUAGCAAGUGAAUUCCAAAAAGCAUUUAAAGUUACGCCCAUCUUACCUUUUCCUUCAGAUAACGGUUAGUUUUUCAAAGGCCAGCAUAAUCUUGAGCAGAAAUCAUGACAUAAAUAAAUUAGAAAAAUAAGUCAUUUAAUAUAUAAAACAAAUAACAUAUAACAUCUAUGUUGGGCUAAUUCCAGCAAUUUAAAAUGGACUAUCUAAAGUCAAUCAAUGUGAUGCAACAUAUUAACAGAAAAAAGGGGGCAAAUAAUAUAAUCACUUCAGUGGGUAUAGCAAAAUCAUUUGAUAAAAUUGGACAUCGAUUUAAUAAAAAUGCAGAUGUGAGGGCGAUCUGGCUGUGACAUCUGUUGCCCCAUUGGUUGCCAGGGUUGAUUUGGCUGAUCUGGCUGGCUAGGCGGGUGUCCCCGUCCUCCCUCACCGCUCCGUGUGCUUUCCUCCCAAAGCUGCACACUUGGUUGAAGAGGACAACCAUCCCCGAUAGAGGGGGACUAAUCUUCGGUCAAGGGUGUACUAGUUAGCUGCGCUUCCCUCUAGAACCUCCAAACAAGCUCUCAAGGUCCAUUUAGUUAAAAUGCAUGUAGUAAAUUAGAAAUGGAAGAGAACUAUUACUUUAAUUAGAUAAAGAAUAUCUACAAAUAAUAUAUAGCAGUCAUACAUUUAAUAAUAAAAAAAUAUUGGCCAGGCGCAGUGGCCUAUGCCUGUAAUUCCAGCACUUUGGGAAUCUGGGGAAGGUGGAUCAUGAGGUCAGGAGUUUGAGACCAGCCUGGCUAACAUAGUGAAACCUUGUCUCUACUAAAAAUACCAAAAAUUAGCUGGGUGUGGUGGCACAACCCCAGGGAGGCUGAGGCAGGAGAACUGCUUGAACCAGGGAGGCAGAGGUUGCAGUGAGCCAAGAUCGUGCCACUGCACUCCAGCCUAGGCGACAGAGUGAGACUCUGUCUCAAAAAAAAAAAAAAAUGUUGAAAGCUUUUCCUCUCUGCUACAGUUUGAAUGUGGUUUGUCCCUGACAAAACUCAUGUUGAAAUUUGAUCCCCAAUGUGGUGGUAUUGAGAAGUGGGGCCUACUGGAAGGUAUUUGAAUCAUGCAGGUGGAUCCCUCAUAAAUAGGUUAAUGCCCUCCCUUUGGGAGUGAGUGAGUUCUCACUCCUGUGGGACUGGAUUCGUUACCUUGAGAGUGGAUUGUUACAAAAGUGAGUUCAGCUUCCCAGACUCUUUUUUUGCUUCUUUUCUCACCAUAUGAUCUCUUUGCACAGGCCUGUUCAUUUUUCUGCCUCUCUACUAUGUUUUGACCCAGCAUGUGGCCUUCACUAAAAGCAGGCCAGAUGCCGGCCUAUACUCUUGAAAUUCCCAGCCUGCAAAAUCAUGGGAUAAAUAAAUAAACAAACAAACCUAUUUUCUUCAUAAAUUACCCAGCCUCAGGUAUUUUGUUAUAGGAAUGUAAAAUAGACUAAGACACUCUGAGAUCAGAAAUGGGACAAGG